AUGCAGCACCUGUAUCUAGAUUCCCAGGGCCCCAACGGCUAGUAGACAUCGUUUUACGGCAUGGACUACCCAAGGGUAUCUAAUAACGCUGGCGGCAGGCUUAACACAUGCAAGUCGAGCGGGGGAAGGUAGCUUGCUCACCGGACCUAGCGGCGGACGGGUGAGUAAUGCUUAGGAAUCUGCCUAUUAGUGGGGGACAACAUCGUCGAAAGGGAUGCUAAUACCGCAUACGUCCUACGGGAGAAAGCAGGGGAUCUUCGGACCUUGCGCUUAAUAGAUGAGCCUAAGUCGGAUUAGCUAGUUGGUGGGGUAAAGGCCUACCAAGGCGACGAUCUGUUAGCGGGUCUGAGAGGAUGAUCCGCCACACUGGGACUGAGACACGGCCCAGACUCCUACGGGAGGACAGCAGUGGGGAAUAUUGGACAAUGGGGGGAACCCUGAUCCAGCCAUGCCGCGUGUGUGAAGAAGGCCUUAUGGUUGUAAAGCACUUUAAGCGAGGAGGAGGCUACUUUAGUUAAUACCUAGAGAUAGUGAGACGUUACUCGCAGAAUAAGCACCGGCUAACUCUGUGCCAGCAGCCGCGGUAAUACAGAGGGUGAGCCGAGCGUUAAUCGGAUUUACUGGUAGCGUAAAGCGUGCGUAGGCGGCUUAUUAAGUCGGAUGCCUGAAAUCCCCGAGCUUAACUUGGGAAUUGCAUUCGAUACUGGUGAGCUAGAGUAUGGGAGAGGAUGGGUAGAAUUCCAGGUGUAGCGGUGAAAUGCGUAGAGAUCUGGAGGAAUACCGAUGGCGAAGGCAGCCCAUCUGGCCUAAUACUGACGUUACUGAGGUACGAAAGCAUGGGGAGCAAACAGGAUUAGAUACUUCCUGGUAGUCCAUGCCGUAAACGAUGUCUACUAGCCGUUGGGGCCUUUGAGGCUUUAGUGGCGCAAGCUAACGCGAUAAGUAGACCGCCUGGGGAGUACGGUCGCAAGACUAAAACUCAAAUGAAUUGACGCGGGGCCCGCACAAGCGGUGGAGCAUGUGGUUUAAUUCGAUGCAACGCGAAGAACCUUACCUGGCCUUUGACAUACUAGAAACUUUCAGAGAUAGGAUUGAGUGCCUUCGGGAAUCUAAGAUACAGGUGCUGGCAUGGCUGUCGUCAGCUCGUGUCGUGAGAUGUUGGGUUAAGUCCCGCAACGAAGCGCAACCCUUAGUUCCUUACUUGCCAGCAUUUCGGAUGGGAACUUUAAGGAUACUGCCAGUGACAAACUGGAGGAAGCGCGGGGACGACGUCAAGUCAUCAUGGCCCUUACGGCCAGGGCUACACACGUGCUUACAAUGGUCGCGUACAAAGGGUUGCUACACAGCGAUGUGAUGCUAAUCUCAAAAAGCCGAUCGUAGCUCCGGAUUGGAGUCUGCAACUCGACUCCAUGAAGUCGGAAUCGCUAGUAAUCGCGGGAUCAGAAUGCCGCGGUGAAUACGUUCCCGGGCCUUGUACACACCGCCCGUCACACCAUGGGAGGGUUUGUUGCACCGAAGUAGCUAGCCUAACUGCAAAGAGGGCGGUAUACCACGGUGUGGCCGAUGACUGGGGUGAAGU
RNAcentral lists this ribosomal RNA (1579 nucleotides) under Acinetobacter baumannii. RNAcentral describes it as "bacterial SSU rRNA". It matches the Rfam family "Bacterial small subunit ribosomal RNA". Lineage: Bacteria; Pseudomonadati; Pseudomonadota; Gammaproteobacteria; Moraxellales; Moraxellaceae. The record is from RNAcentral.